GAUGAAGAACGUAGUGAAAUGCGAUACGUAAUGUGAAUUGCAGAAUUCAGUGAAUCAUCGAAUCUUUGAACGCAUAUUGCGCUCUCUGGUAUUCCGGAGAGCAUGCUUGUUUGAGUAUCAGUAAACACCUCAACUUCCAUAUCUUUUUUGAAAUGGGAGUUGGACUUGAGUGAUCCCAACGCUUUUCCUCACCGAAAAGUGGCGGGUUACUUGAAAUGCAGGUGCAGCUGGACUUUUCUCUGAGCUAUAAGCAUAUCUAUUUAGUCUGCCUAAAAAACAGAUUAUUACCUUUGCUGCAGCUAACAUAAAGGAGAUUAGUUCUUGUGCUGACUGAUGCAGGAUUCACAAAGACAGGCUUCGGCCGACUUUGUAAACUCGAUCUCAAAUCAAGUAAGACUACCCGCUGAACUUAAGCAUAUCAUUAAGCGGAGGA
Molecule: unclassified non-coding RNA, 433 nt
Filed under: soil metagenome
Description: partial contains 5.8S ribosomal RNA, internal transcribed spacer 2, and large subunit ribosomal RNA
Rfam family: 5.8S ribosomal RNA (bases 1-120)
Source: RNAcentral